Molecule: ribosomal RNA, 119 nt
Filed under: Dasypus novemcinctus (nine-banded armadillo)
Lineage: Eukaryota; Metazoa; Chordata; Mammalia; Cingulata; Dasypodidae
Source: RNAcentral
AUCUAUGGCUAUACCACACUGAAAGCAUCCAAUAUAGUCUGAUCUCUAAAGCUACACUGGGUGAGGUCUGGUUAGUAGUUGGUUUAGAGACCUUUUGGGAAUACUAGAUCUUGUAGGCU